GAAGAGCCGGGAGAUUACCCGGCCGGGACUCGCGGUUGCGCUGGGUGCCGGCAGAGCAGCCCGACCCGGAACUGACCGCCGCGGGGAAGAAGCGACCCUGGCCCAGGAUUCGUAGCCGGGAGCUGCGGGCUGGUGAGUAAGGCAGACCUGGCGAUCGAACGUGGCAGCGCGAACGGAACGAGGCCGGGCCGAGCGGGGCAGGCUCGGGAGAAGGGUGAAGUUCGCUGCGUCUUCCCUCCCGGCUUAAUCCUCCUGCUUGCUUGGGCCUCCAUUCGCUCCUUCCUCGUGGGUUCUUCCUCGCUUUCCGUGUCAAACUCAGGCACCAAUCCAUUCUUGUCUCCACAGCCAGAAGUAAGCGGGGCCCAGAUGACAGUCUCACUGCUUGGAGCCGAGUAGACGGCCAGUCUGGCUCCAGGACCAAAGUCACGGUUUUUUGGUUUUGAUCAGAAUAAACUGGUUUAGCCACGUACACUUGAAGUUGUGCAUUCACCCGAUUAGCACAGCAGCAUUUUCCCUGCUGCUUUUCACCCUAUAAUGGCCUUAGAAAAGUAUGAAAAUUUAUUUUUGUGGACCAAAUGCGGGCCAAGACUUACAAAGUCCCAGUACAUUCUCGAUUUUGACACCACGAGUUUGUAUGCGCUUCAAGAGAGUGUCAUUCCGUCAUGCAUACAACAAAUACCAGUGUCAGGGACUGUGCCUGCGCUAAAAAUUGUAAUCCCUAAAAGUGUCCCCCCACCUCAAGUUUAAAAUAGACAGAAUUCCCCGUUAUGGCUGAGCAGGUUGAGAAUCCUACUGGUAUCCAUGAGGAUGUGGGUUCCAUCCCUGGCCUCAUUCAGUGGGUUAAGGAUCCAGUGUAGGUCGCAGACAGGGCUCGAAUAUGGUGUUGCUGUGGCUGUGGUGUAGGCCAGCAGCUGCAGCUUGGAUUGGACCCCUAGCCUGAAAGCUUCCAUAUGCCGGAGGUGCCGCCCUGAAAAGCAAAAAUAAGUAGAUGUACUUUUUUACUGUUUCUCAAAUUCCCCUUUUUAAAAAAUAGAUUAUUUUUAAGAACAUUUUUAGAUUUACAGAAAAAUGGUGAUAGUAGAGUUUCCAUAUACCCUAAACCCUUUCCCCAUUCAUUUAUUAACAUCGUGCUUAAAUAGGGAACAUUUGUUACAGUUAGUGAACCUCUGUUGACCCAUUAAGUUUGGCCAACAUACGUAACAUAUUCAGAUUUCCUUAGUUUUUACCUGAGUACUUUUUCUGUUUCAUGAUCCCACCCUGGUUACCAUAUUCCCGUUAAAUCUCUUUACAUUUACCUUGGCUGUGGCAAUUUCUCAGACUUUGUUUUUAAGAUCAGGAAAGUUUUGAGGAACACCUGCUCCGUAUAUUAUAGGAUGCCCCUCUGUUGGAUUCUGUUGUUUGUCCCCUAAGACUGGGUUUGUGGGUUACUGGGAGAAAGACCACAGAGGUAGAUUGCUGUUUUCAUCACUUCACAUCCAGGGAACAAGCUUUAUGAUUUGACGUUGGUCUUAAUCAUCUGGCUGAGACAGUGUUUGCCAGGCUUCUCCAGGGUGAAGUUACCCUAUCCCCCGCCCCCCACCCCAAUACUGUAUCUCUGCAGAGCAGACAAACUAUGUGUAGCCCACACCUAAGGACUGGGGAGUAUGUUCCUCCCUCUUUAAGGGCAGCUCCAUACUACACUAUUUGGAAUUCUUCUGCAUGGGAGAAGUCAUUUAUUCUUAUCAGUAUGAACUUGGGGAUAUUUAUUUUAUACUUUGGGUUACAAUCUGAUACUACUUCAUUCUGUUGCCGCUUUAGCCAUGGGGAGUGCUAAGUUAGUUCCUGUGCUCCUUUCUAGCGUGUAUUUUUAUAGAGCUGUUUGCUUUUGAACAAUUUCAGUUACAUGACCUCACUUGAACUUCAGACAGCCAGGCAAACCUGACAAGAUCUUGUUCUUCUUACCUUUUUAAGUGGAAAGGAAACCAAGGCCCAGGAGCAGUAGGUGACAUCUAAAAUGUCACUUCCUGCAAAGGAAGUGAUAGGCUGGACACAAACUGGGAAGUCACUGUGACCUGCAGAAGAGAGCCCAUUAUCUUAAUUGAGGCUUCUUGGGGUGACUUCAGACUUAAGACCCUUCCUCCCACCCCACCCUCCACCCCACUCCCACCCCCAACCCACCUCCCAGGGUCAGAAUAGAAAAGACAUGGAGAAUGGGAAGAAAUUGGUUUUUGAAAACAAAGCCUUAGUUUGGCUGGCAUCCAGGGCGAAUUAAAACUUGCCACCUUUGCAGAAAUGCAGUGACCUUUCCCCCAAAGCUAUGUGUGGAGGGAGGUGAUCUGGGUAGUAUUUGUGGCCAAGACUGUCUAAUCUAAGGGGAGCCCUUGGUGCCUCCUGCUGAAGUGAGAUUGUAGAGGGGGGAGGGGAGUGUGGUUGGGGAGAAUGAAGAAGAUAUGGGGCUCUGGACUCAUGGGGUAACAUUCAGCCUCACAAACAUUUACAGACUUUGUGCCCAGCACUGGAGAUAUGAGGCGAACGCGAUAACCCCUACACUGCAAACGCCUAAUGCUGGAGAUAUGAAAAGUUCAGUGAGCCGUGACCCUUGGGUUCACGUUCUUGUUGGGAGAAGGAUGGGUAAAGCUGUCAGUUAAGAAGUGGGGUGGUCGUGCUGUAAUGGAAACGCAGGGUCUGCAGGAGCUUCCCGACAGAGGCAUUCCUUCAGCGCAGAGGUGAGCUGGGCACAGGAAGGACCUCGCAGAGCAGGGGGCAUGUCUGAUUCCAGCUUUCAAGGAUGAGCUGGGACUGAGAAACUCAUGUACAAGAACAAGGGGCGGGGAGUGGGGGGGGGCGGUGAAAAAGGGGCUGUCAUUCUGCUUCAGUGUAUCCAGCAUUAGGCUGAAACAGGAUUCAGGGCUGGACGAGUAAGUGGGGGCCAGAUUAUACGGGCCUGUGUGCCCUGCCAUGCAGUUUUAAGCUCAGGAGUUUUGAAGCAGGAGAAUGACAGAUGAGUCCCAUGUGGUAGAUGACCCUGUCAGCACUUUGUACGAGAUAGGCUGCAUUUCACCACAUCUAAGAGGUCAUCAAUUAUUUUAUGAUUAUAUUGGAAGAAACAUUCUGCUAGUUAAAUUAUGGCAUGCCCGUUGAUCACAUUUCACAGAUGCAAACACAUAAUGACAAAUUUGAUGUAAAGCGGUAACUCCCUAGCUAGUGGCUUAGGGCGCUCCUUCCUCAGGGGAAUGAAUGGUUAGAUUCUUUCCCUCUCACUAACGCAUAGAUGUUGAUUUCACUAACUCCGUUUAUGAUCGCGAAGAAACUAUAUUUGGUAAGCUGGCCUUUCCUGUCUGGUAGCCAGUU
Molecule: long non-coding RNA, 3330 nt
Filed under: Sus scrofa (pig)
Lineage: Eukaryota; Metazoa; Chordata; Mammalia; Artiodactyla; Suidae
Description: lncRNA (ENSSSCG00040070598.1)
Source: RNAcentral